UGGGGCCAGAGCUGUUACAGCGGUGCCAGAUUUUGGAGCAGAAGAUAGCCACCUUUGAGAACAUUGUCUGCGUUUUGAACCGGGAGGUAGAGAGGGUAGCAGUGACUGCAGAGGCUUGUAGCCGGCAGCACCGUCUGGACCAGGACAAGAUUGAGGCCCUAAGCAACAAGGUUUGUACUUAGCUAGGUCUUUGGAGUCUGGGCAAUGUCGAACCCUUACACUGAUGUCUUGGGCUCUGGCCGUCUGUUUUCUGAUUCUCCUACUUUACUCUGUGAGGUUCAGUUAGAGCGUUGGAUGGGCUAGCAACUGAAAGCUCUUUUUGGCCUAGGAGGGCACAGCAUCAGUCACGGCACUAGGCUGGAGCUGUGAAGCUCCCGGGUACAUGUAUGUCCAGAGCCUUCCAUGUGUACUUGGAACAUUUUCCUAACACGGGACAGAAAAGACUCCAGAGGCUAGCAGUGGGGGAGGGGAGCUCAGGGCCCACAGCAUAUGACGUCAGAGUUAAGUGGUCUAUGCUCUGCAGGUGCAGCAGCUGGAGAGGAGCAUCGGCCUCAAGGACCUGGCCAUGGCUGACCUGGAGCAGAAGGUCUCAGAGUUGGAGGUGUCCACCUAUGAUGGGGUCUUCAUCUGGAAGAUCUCCGACUUCGCCAGAAAACGUCAGGAAGCCAUCGCUGGCCGGACACCUGCUAUCUUCUCCCCAGGUGCUGUCUGUGGUC
This 716-nucleotide long non-coding RNA is filed under the name Rattus norvegicus (Norway rat). Its description in RNAcentral is "long non-coding RNA NONRATT019050". The record is from RNAcentral. Lineage: Eukaryota; Metazoa; Chordata; Mammalia; Rodentia; Muridae.